Molecule: small RNA, 523 nt
Filed under: Pongo abelii (Sumatran orangutan)
Lineage: Eukaryota; Metazoa; Chordata; Mammalia; Primates; Hominidae
Description: retained intron
Source: RNAcentral
AAGAAAAAAAUUUCAUCAGGAUAAAGCCUUUUGUAAAUGAAUUAGAGUAUCUUAUACUACUCAUUUUGUUUAUACAUCUCAUGUUAAAGCUUGUAUAAUUUUGAAUUAUACAUUUUGUGAUUUUGCUGGUACUGAAUACUAGUCUUUAUAAUAAUCUGAUACGUUUAAAAGGUUGCUAUUGAUCUAUUCAUAUUCACAGUAGAUGUGUAAAGUAGUAUAUCAACUACUUUUGUUUUCAUAUAUUGAUUUAUAUUUACAGCAAACAUUUGUAUACCUGCUAUUCACCAGAUCCUGUGCUAGGGAAUUAGUCAUUAUUUGCAUUUUUCAGAUUAAUCUGUCAUUACUUUUAUAGGAUCAUUGUUGCAAUUUCUUUUUCAGGGUAUGGUACCAUUUGUUUUUGUGGGAACAAAGGACAGCAUUGCUAAUGCCACUGUUCUUUUGGAUUAUCACCUGAACUAUUUAAAGGAAGUAGACCAGUUGCGUUUGGAGAGAUUACAAAUUGAUGAGCAGUUGCGACAGAUUG